CAGGGAUUGCCUCAGUAACGGCGAGUGAAGCGGCAACAGCUCAAAUUUUAAAGCUGACGUCUUUGGCGUCCGCGUUGUAAUUUGGAGAGGCAUCUUCGGUUUGGGCGCCAGUUUAUGUUCCUUGGAACAGGACGUCACAGAGGGUGAGAAUCCCGUGCCUGGCUGGCUGUCCCUUUCCAUGUGAAGUGCCUUCGACGAGUCGAGUUGUUUGGGAAUGCAGCUCAAAAUGGGUGGUAAAUUUCAUCUAAAGCUAAAUAUUGGCGGGAGACCGAUAGCGCACAAGUAGAGUGAUCGAAAGAUGAAAAGCACUUUGAAAAUAGAGUUAAAAAGUACGUGAAAUUGUUGAAAGGGAAGCGCUUGAGACCAGACUCGGCCGGAGAUGAUCAGCCGUCCUUCUGGGCGGUGCACUCGUUUCCGGCCGGGCCAGCAUCGGUUGAGACGGCGGGAUAAAGGCCCGGGGAAUGUGGCUCCUUUCGGGGAGUGUUAUAGCCCCGGGCGCAAUGCCGCCAGCCUCGACCGAGGACCGCGCUUCAUUGCUAGGAUGCUGGCGUAAUGGUCUUCAGCGACCCGUCUUGAAACACGGACCAAGGAGUCUAACAUCUAUGCGAGUGUUUGGGUGUCAAACCCUUGCGCGUAAUGAAAGUGAACGGAGGUGGGAACCCUCGCGGGGCGCACCAUCGACCGGUCCUGAUGUCUUCGGAUGGAUCUGAGUAGGAGCAUAGCUGUUGGGACCCGAAAGAUGGUGAACUAUGCCUGAAUAGGGUGAAGCCAGAGGAAACUCUGGUGGAGGCUCGCAGCGGUUCUGACGUGCAAAUCGAUCGUCAAAUUUGGGUAUAGGGCGAAAGACUAA
Molecule: ribosomal RNA, 850 nt
Filed under: Gyromitra venenata
Lineage: Eukaryota; Fungi; Ascomycota; Pezizomycetes; Pezizales; Discinaceae
Description: partial large subunit ribosomal RNA
Rfam family: Eukaryotic large subunit ribosomal RNA
Source: RNAcentral